RNAcentral lists this ribosomal RNA (441 nucleotides) under uncultured bacterium. Its description in RNAcentral is "partial 16S ribosomal RNA". It matches the Rfam family "Bacterial small subunit ribosomal RNA", at positions 338 to 795 of the family's 1533-position model. The record is from RNAcentral.
CCUACGGGUGGCAGCAGUGGGGAAUAUUGCACAAUGGGGGAAACCCUGAUGCAGCGACGCCGCGUGAGUGAAGAAGUAUUUCGGUAUGUAAAGCUCUAUCAGCAGGGAAGAAAAACGACGGUACCGGACGAAGAAGCCCCGGCUAACUACGUGCCAGCAGCCGCGGUCAUACGUAGGGGGCAAGGGUGAUCCGGAUUUACUGGGUGUAAAGGGAGCGUAGACGGCGCGGCAAGUCUGAAGGGAAAGGCAGGGGCUUAACCCCUGAACUGCUUUGGAAACGGCCAUGCUAGAGUGCUGGAGUGCGAAGUGGAAUUCCUAGUGUAGCGGUGAAAUGCGUAGAUAUUAGGAGGAACACCAGUGGCGGCGGCGGCUUACUGGACAGUAACUGACGUUGAGGCUCGAACGCGUGGGGAGCAAACAGGAUUAGAUAUCCCAGUAGUC